RNAcentral lists this ribosomal RNA (413 nucleotides) under uncultured bacterium. Its description in RNAcentral is "bacterial SSU rRNA". It matches the Rfam family "Bacterial small subunit ribosomal RNA", at positions 29 to 489 of the family's 1533-position model. The record is from RNAcentral.
AACGAACGCUGGCGGCAGGCUUAACACAUGCAAGUCGAGCGCGUAGCAAUACGAGCGGCAGACGGGUGAGUAACGCGUGGGAAUCUACCCAACCCUACGGAAUAACGCAUGGAAACGUGUGCUAAUACCGUAUACGCCCUUUGGGGGAAAGAUUUAUCGGGGAUGGAUGAGCCCGCGUUGGAUUAGCUAGUUGGUGGGGUAAAGGCCUACCAAGGCGACGAUCCAUAGCUGGUCUGAGAGGAUGAUCAGCCACAUUGGGACUGAGACACGGCCCAAACUCCUACGGGAGGCAGCAGUGGGGAAUAUUGGACAAUGGGCGCAAGCCUGAUCCAGCCAUGCCGCGUGAGUGAUGAAGGCCCUAGGGUUGUAAAGCUCUUUCACCGGUGAAGAUAAUGACGGUAACCGGAGAAGAA